Molecule: unclassified non-coding RNA, 253 nt
Filed under: Borreliella garinii
Lineage: Bacteria; Pseudomonadati; Spirochaetota; Spirochaetia; Spirochaetales; Borreliaceae
Description: partial 5S-23S ribosomal RNA intergenic spacer
Source: RNAcentral
CUGCGAGUUCGCGGGAGAGUAAGUUGUUGCCAGGGUUUUUAUUUUAUACUUUAAACAUUGAUUUUAUUUUUUAUGUUUUUAGAUGUUUAUGUUUUUGAAUGUUUUAUUCAAAUAAUAUAAAAAAUAAAAUAUAUAUUGACAUGGAUUAAACAAAGAUAUAUAUUAUUCUAUGUUGUAUAAACAAAUUGGCAAAAUAGAGAUGGAAGAUAAAAAUAUGGUCAAAGUAAUAAGAGUCUAUGGUGAAUGCCUAGGA